GCAAGUCGAACGGCAGCAUGAUCUAGCUUGCUAGAUUGAUGGCGAGUGGCGAACGGGUGAGUAAUACAUCGGAACGUGCCCUGUAGUGGGGGAUAACUAGUCGAAAGAUUAGCUAAUACCGCAUACGACCUGAGGGUGAAAGUGGGGGACCGCAAGGCCUCAUGCUAUAGGAGCGGCCGAUGUCUGAUUAGCUAGUUGGUGGGGUAAAGGCCCACCAAGGCGACGAUCAGUAGCUGGUCUGAGAGGACGAUCAGCCACACUGGGACUGAGACACGGCCCAGACUCCUACGGGAGGCAGCAGUGGGGAAUUUUGGACAAUGGGCGAAAGCCUGAUCCAGCAAUGCCGCGUGUGUGAAGAAGGCCUUCGGGUUGUAAAGCACUUUUGUCCGGAAAGAAAUGGCUCUGGUUAAUACCUGGGGUCGAUGACGGUACCGGAAGAAUAAGGACCGGCUAACUACGUGCCAGCAGCCGCGGUAAUACGUAGGGUCCAAGCGUUAAUCGGAA
RNAcentral lists this ribosomal RNA (504 nucleotides) under Ralstonia pickettii. RNAcentral describes it as "bacterial SSU rRNA". It matches the Rfam family "Bacterial small subunit ribosomal RNA", at positions 57 to 550 of the family's 1533-position model. Lineage: Bacteria; Pseudomonadati; Pseudomonadota; Betaproteobacteria; Burkholderiales; Burkholderiaceae. The record is from RNAcentral.